This 357-nucleotide ribosomal RNA is filed under the name Triticum aestivum (bread wheat). RNAcentral describes it as "partial small subunit ribosomal RNA". The record is from RNAcentral. Lineage: Eukaryota; Viridiplantae; Streptophyta; Magnoliopsida; Poales; Poaceae.
AUGAAGAAAGGUGCCCUCGCUCUCUUCCUCCUCCUCCUCGCCUUCGGAUCCCAUGGCACAUGGUGUGAGGCAGCUCCGAGAAGGGCCAUGGCCGGUGCAGCUCUCCAGCCCCAUGAAGUCCAAGGCAAGAGGCUCCUGGAGAUGGCGAGACCCAGGAAGCUUGGGCACACGGGAGGCCGCAGCUCCGGCGGUGGAGCGAGCGGUGCCGGGAGGCACACCGGUACCGGUGGCGGCGCGGUGAACACGAGGCCGCACAACACCAAGAACGGCGGCGCUGUGGCGCUGCCGGCUCUGGUGACCUCCGCUCUGGCACUGGUUUUCACCACUGUCAUUCUUCUCUCGGCGCUCAGCUUCUAA